This 679-nucleotide long non-coding RNA is filed under the name Homo sapiens (human). Its description in RNAcentral is "LHRI_LNC1287.1". Lineage: Eukaryota; Metazoa; Chordata; Mammalia; Primates; Hominidae. The record is from RNAcentral.
GUGCGCCGCUACGCUCUCAUAACUGGGCGUCGGAGUCUGCCGUGAAGAGGGUUCUCACCCGCGUCAGGGUAGACGCCUUAUCCCUUCACACAGGGGGUCACGACUUACUCGUGUGUCUGGCCCCAGAGCAGCGGGUCCUUGUCUCCUCAAUGGAAGGCCUGAGCAGCCUUUCCUGGAGGAUGUGGCGGGAGGAGGGCUGAGGUGGCUGCGGACACGCCACCGCGGCUGGCCCCGCCCCGAGCCGCAGGGCACCGCCCGGGUGUCCAGUUCUUCCUCACUCGCUCGCGCAGAAAUCCGAACGAGAAAACCCAAAAUAGGAGCGCUUGAGUUCAAUGAAUAAUGACAGUGACUCCCCACCGUGACCGUUUUUCCACCGGGACACACAGAUGGAGACAGGCCCUUCCCCAAGAUGCUCCCGGCUCCCUGGGAGGCGGAGUCCAGCCCUAGAGGCUCUAUCAGCGCAGGGAGUCUCCUGGGGGUCAAGGUUCUUAGCCCGUUCAAGCCAUUUUCUCCUUUCUUUAAAAGACAAAGUCUCACUCUGUUACCCAGGCUGAAGUGCAGUGGCGCAAUCAUAGCUCAUUGCAACCCCUGGGCUCAAGCAAUCCUCCCGCCCCAGCCUCCCGAGUAGCUGGGACCACAGACGCGCACCACCACACUCAGCUGAUUUUUUAAAAUUUUG